This 1902-nucleotide ribosomal RNA is filed under the name Akkermansiaceae bacterium. Its description in RNAcentral is "partial 23S ribosomal RNA". It matches the Rfam family "Bacterial large subunit ribosomal RNA", at positions 919 to 2925 of the family's 2925-position model. The record is from RNAcentral. Lineage: Bacteria; Pseudomonadati; Verrucomicrobiota; Verrucomicrobiia; Verrucomicrobiales; Akkermansiaceae.
CUAGGGGGCAUACCCGCCUACCAACCCCUAUCAAACUCCGAAUACCAUUCAAUAGAGCGCAGCAGUGAGACGGCGGGGGAUAAGCUUCGUCGUCGAGAGGGAAACAGCCCAGAUCAGCAGCUAAGGUGCCUAAAUUGUGCUCAGUGGAAAGGAGGUGAGGUUUCAUAGACAGUGAGGAUGUUGGCUUAGAAGCAGCCACCAUUUAAAAAAUGCGUAAUAGCUUACUCAUCGAGAGACCUUGCGCCGAAAAUACUUGGCGAUAAGCACAAUACCGAAGCUCUGGGUGUCCUAGUUUACUAGGGCGCGGUAGAGGAGCAUUCUCUGUGCAGUGAAGGGUGAUGGCGACUGACCCUGGAGCGCAGAGAAGUGAGAAUGCAGACAUGAGUAACGAUAAGAGCGGUGAAAUCCCGCUCCGCCGUAAAUCCAAGGUUUCCCGGGCAACGUUUUUCGUCCCGGGGUUAGUCGGGACCUAACCCGAGGCCGAUGGGCGUAGGGGAUGGUAAGCAGGUUAAUAUUCCUGCACCCAGUAAGGAGGACGCAUAAUGAAAAGCUACUAGGUUAUUGAAUUCCGAGGCGAGGCUUAGGCCGGACCGUAUAGCUGGACAGAGUGCCAAGAAAAGCCCUUACAUUAAUGGCCCGUACCGUAAACCGACACAGGUGGAUGGGUAGAAUAUACCAAGGCGCAAGAGUGAAACCUGGUCAAGGAACUCGGCAAAAUAGCCCCGUAACUUCGGAAGAAGGGGUGCCCCCUCUGGGGGGCCGCAGUGAAAUGGCCCAACCGACUGUUUAGCAAAAACACAGCAUUGUGCUAAGGCGUAAGCCGACGUAUACGAUGUGACACGUGACCAAUGCCAAAAGAUUACGGUAAGAUGUUAGCACUUUAGUGCGAAGCUUCGAGCCCAAGUCCUGGUGAAUGUCGGCCGUAACUAUAACGGUCCUAAGGUAGCGAAAUUCCUUGUCGGGUAAGUUCCGACCUGCACGAAUCGUGCAACGAGUUGGGCGCUGUCUCGACCAGGUGCUCAGUGAAAUUGUAGUUCCGGUGAAGAUGCCGGACACCCGCAGAAGGACGGAAAGACCCUAUAGACCUUAACUGUAAGCUGUUAUUGGUUGUUCGAUCUUAAUGCUCAGCAUAAGUGGGAGACAUUGAAGGGUGCGUUUAGGCGCAUCUGGAGUCAUCAGUGAGAUACCACCCUUUAAUAUUGGAUAAUCUAACCCCGAGCCGUCAUCCGGCCGUGGGGACAAUGGCAGCCGGUCAGUUUUACUGGGGCGGUAUCCUCCUAAAGAGUAACGGAGGAGCGCGAAGGUGGGCUCAGCACAGUUGGCAACUGUGUGUUGAGUGUAAAGGCACAAGCCCGCCUAACUGUGAGACCUACAAGUCGAGCAGAUACGAAAGUAGGCCUUAGUGAUCCGGCGGUAGAAUGUGGAAUUGCCGUCGCUCAACGGAUAAAAGGUACCUUAGGGAUAACAGGCUUAUCACGCCCAAGAGUUCAUAUCGACGGCGUGGUUUGGCACCUCGAUGUCGGCUCGUCGCAUCCUGGGGCUGGAGAAGGUCCCAAGGGUCCGGCUGUUCGCCGGUUAAAGCGGCACGCGAGCUGGGUUCAGAACGUCGCGAGACAGUUCGGUCCUCUAUCCUCUGUGGGCGUAGGAAAAUUGAAGGGUUCAGACCUUAGUACGAGAGGACCGGGUUUGACGCACCUCUGGUGUUCCAGUUGUUCUGUCAAGGGCACUGCUGGGUAGCUAAGUGCGGAACGGAUAAGCGCUGAAAGCAUCUAAGCGCCAAGCCAUUCCUGAGAUAAAUUUUCCCUGAAGGAUCGUGGAAGACGACCACGUUGAUAGGCUGGGGGUAGAAGUGCAGCAAUGUAUGUAGCUCACCAGUACUAAUCAUCCGUUCGACUUAAUUCC